UCUCCUGUAGCUCAGUGGUAGAGCGUCCGACCAGUGUGCGGAAGUUUAUAGGUUCGACUCCUGUUGGGGGAA
Molecule: transfer RNA, 72 nt
Filed under: Desmophyllum pertusum
Lineage: Eukaryota; Metazoa; Cnidaria; Anthozoa; Scleractinia; Caryophylliidae
Description: Lophelia pertusa tRNA
Rfam family: tRNA
About the family: Transfer RNA (tRNA) molecules are approximately 80 nucleotides in length. Their secondary structure includes four short double-helical elements and three loops (D, anti-codon, and T loops). Further hydrogen bonds mediate the characteristic L-shaped molecular structure. tRNAs have two regions of fundamental functional importance: the anti-codon, which is responsible for specific mRNA codon recognition, and the 3' end, to which the tRNAs corresponding amino acid is attached (by aminoacyl-tRNA synthetases). tRNAs cope with the degeneracy of the genetic code in two manners: having more than one tRNA (with a specific anti-codon) for a particular amino acid; and 'wobble' base-pairing, i.e. permitting non-standard base-pairing at the 3rd anti-codon position.
Source: Rfam by way of RNAcentral